RNAcentral lists this long non-coding RNA (5229 nucleotides) under Strigops habroptila (Kakapo). RNAcentral's name for it is "lncRNA (ENSSHBG00005019540.1)". The record is from RNAcentral. Lineage: Eukaryota; Metazoa; Chordata; Aves; Psittaciformes; Psittacidae.
CUCUUUUUUUUUUUUUAUUUUUUUUUUUUUUUAAGACAAUCAUAUUGUCCUUGGCUCUGCAGUUGGGUCUGAUAUUAUAAGAUAAAAUGACAAAGCCAUAGUAAUUCUCCACCCUGUGUUGAAAACAAGUGGGAUUCCUCUUCUUGGCACCUGGAAAGGUGCCCAGAAAACCACUGGGGUACUCCGAUACCCUCAAGCACAGCCUACUCAGCCCUUCUGUGCUUACUUUAUGUGAACCUGUAAAUGCUUAUGCAACCUCUAAAGAACAGACAGCUAAAGAUGGAGAAUCCAGGUCCACCACUUGUCUUCCAAAGUAUGAUGCAGCAGCACUGAAAGGACUUUGCUCUGCUUUAGCCCUGACCAUUUCACAAGGAUGUUUAUGAAAAGUUACCUUUUCAUGACUCAUCUGUGAAACCUGACUGCAAAGGUCCUCGCUGUUUGCCGAAGGUGUGAGCUCCUAAAAGGGUUGUGAUGCCUGGGGAUGUCUGCAGCACUCAGAAGCAGUCUUGGGAGAACUAUGCUGUGGUGUAUUUACUACUCUCCAGGAAAUGUCACACAAAACAAACAGGCAUAUGCAUGUCCAACUGACUGAACAUCUGCUUCACCAUAGGCCAGCGUGUUCCCACUUGCCCUACUGCAUCCCAGUUAUCCUGGGAUUACAGAUUUGCCUGCACCACGCAUAAAAUUUGUGAAUUCUGGAUGGAUUUCUCUUGCUCCUGGACAAAAUAACCACGUGGGAAAAGUGAAAUAUGUUUAAGGAAACCCAGACUAUGGUAGUCUAAUCCAGACCCAACUGAGAGCACCUUCUCCUCUGGUGACAGUAUUCUGUGAAAGAGUCACAGCAGCCAGGUCAGCCUUAAUAGUCUCAAAACUCAAGACAUUGUCAGCACUUUAUUCUGUCUUCUACUGUCCUUGGUAUCCUUGCCAUCGACAGUGCCAGGAGCUGGAGGGCAAACAGACCUGGAAGUUAUUUUCCUUAUACCCUGAGGAAGGCCUGAAAGAAGUUUGAUGGGCGCCUUAACUCCUGGAAAUACCAGCUCUCGGGUAUGGCUCCACACAGGUAUGAGAUGACCUCCCCAGCACAUGCUCUUGGCUUGUUUGUGUUCUGUCACUUUCAGUUCCAUCCAUGAGCUGCUUUCUCUUGCUCAAAGAGCAGAAAAUUAACCUGGGAUUGGAGUAGAUGAGGGGUUUAAAAACAAACCACAGAAUAAGGCAUUUGAGCAGAAUUAGGUCAUUAAAAAGUACCCUAUGUGGGUCAAACAGAGCACAAAUACAUGGGAGACACAUCACAGCUGGGAGCAGAGGGAACUGGAGUGUCUUUGACAGCAAUGAGAUCCUCUCAGCUCAUCCAGAGAACCACAACUGAGUGGUGUGAUGGUCUCACUCCAGGGAAGGAGUAGCUACGAACCAGCCCUUGCCUCAUUCCCUUGUGUGUAGGCCUGCACAUCUCUAUCAAUGGCUGGAUGCACAUCAUGGGCUGCGCUGCACCUGGUUGGAGCAGGGAGGAAUUCAGUCAACAUUGAGGUCAGAUGGGAGAUGGGUUUGUAAUCUGAUCAAGAAGUCUGGGGGCAAGAAAUCCCACUUAGCAUGCUUGGCUCCUAUAUUGCACACUCUUCAGACCAUGCCAGCCUUCUGCUCUUUCUCAGUCCCCAGGGAGCAGCAAAGUCCAAAGCAGACACCAUCUGCCACCCAGCAUCUCCUAUCAUGUUUACACACACAAAACAUUAACAGCAGAUCCCCACUGCAGUAGGGGAGAGGUGACACCAAAAGAUGUGGGAGCUGGGACCUUCAUGCAUCCCACUGCUGGCUGCCAGGAAGGACACUUUUCUUCUAAUUCCAGGUGCAAACAGCAAAACUAUCAGAUACCAGGCUCCCAUCUGCCACAUGGACACCAAGCCCUGAGCAUGCACGACUCUUCGUGGAGCCAAGAGUGUCCACUGACAUCCACCCUGAUUCAGCAACUGGCUUAGCGUCAGUGACAACUUUCCACAGACUUUAUGCGAGGGCAAAGGCUAAAUAAUACCAUCAUUUACCAACCUGGAUGUUCACUGUGUAUCCUCUUUCCUCCCGGGCACAUUCCCUGCUCUGAAAAUACAAGCAAGAAAUGAGGUAGUCUGGCUUUAAGCUGAAAAUACUUAACCACAGCAUGAGCUGUCUAUGUUUCCAGGACAGAAAUGAUAUACAAGUGCGCAGAGAGAACAAUGCUGUGGGCUCCUGUUCCAUUCCACAUGCCUGCACUGGGAUUUCCCAUCAUGAGCAACACAAACAUCAGAGAAAAGACUUCAGCUCUGGGCACUGCUCUUAGGAAAAGUGCCAGACAGUUUGAGGAGAAUUCGGUGGACAGUGGUACAGACCAGUGAUCAAAAGUGUGUGACCUGCUAUGAAAUCCUAAAAGCUUCAGGGUGGAGAUGGAGGGAAGCCAUGACAGUUGGCUUCAAACAGGUAAAAAGUUACUAGAAAGAGGAUAUAAAUAAUUUGUUUUCAAAGUCUAGGGGAGACAGAGUCACAAACUGUCUAACAUCACAGGAAUGGGACAGGGAAGGGCAUGAAUCUCUAUCAGCAGCAUUUCCCAGGCAGACUUGAUAAAAACCAAGCAAUGACAACAGAGCUAUGGCUGACCCUGAUUCAGACAGGAAACAAGACUCAGAGCUAGAACUCAGAGAAAUCACUUGUGACUUCAUGUGCAGUAAGCCUGCCAUGUCCAGAGUAUGGCAGGGCUACACCCGCUCAUGCUGGUCACAAUAUCCCCCUCAGCAGGGCACCCAGUAUCUCUUUUUCAAGCAAUUUCAAUUGCAAUACUUAAUGUCAGAAUUGCAAUUCUUAACAUCCAGCGCAAACCAGCUGAAUCAGAUAUAGCUACUGCAGAACAAUCUGUUUCUUUAUGGUUCCAAUAGCCAUGCUACAAGCCAAGCUGUUCUGCAGUGGCCAUCAUUCCUGCUGUUAACAGUCCAGAGUAGCUCCUUUCAAAUAUGUAUCACUGUUCAGGGUCACUUUUAAGAAUGGUAGACAAAAGUCAAAAGUUUCAUUUAAGUUCACUUGUUUGAUGUAGCAUUUGAGUUUAAACCUUCUCUACUGCCCUCAUGUAAAAAAGCAGGCUCUAUUUCCCCGAGAAUAACCUCAAUAACUCUGUGAGACUACAAAAAGGACACACAGAGGGAAGAGACCAUCCUGUCCAGCUGCAGAACUGAAGGUGAUAGCAAGUAAAAGGGGUGGGACGUUCAGAAGCAGAGAUCACACCAUGUCAUGGAAAAAGAAGGAAACCAAGGAACAAAAGCAUUCAAAGUGGAAUGAAAUGGCAUCUGGAGAACUCACAGGAGUUGAGGAAGCCCAGUGGGCACAAGAAACUUCUCUUGACGAGGCCACCUGGAGCUCCUUCAGGGAAGGCAUCCAAGGUCCCUGGCUACAGAAAGUUUCUCAGACUAACCAGGCUGAAAAAUACCUCCCUUUUUGCAUGGCUCUCCAUGGCCAUUGUGCAUCCACCCAAUAUAUGUCCAUCAAGACACAAGUCCUUGGCCUCUUCUGUCCCUACUCCAACACAGAUUAACAUUUCACUGACUCAAGGCCGUAGAGGGAGGAGGCUCACCAUUGACUCCAGUGAUACAAACAGGCAUCCUACUCCACCAGCUACAAGACUACAUUUAUUCAAAGCCUUUUUUACAAGUUUCAUCCAAAGUAAGCCUGUGCAAGCACAAGGUCAGUACCUGUAGCACAUCAUUUUAGAUGAGGGGUCUCUCACAAGACCUUAUUGCAAUCCUGGUAUUGAAGCAGAGCAUAUAAAGGCUCCAUGGAUAGCAGAAGCAGCACUCAAUUCAGCCAAUGCAGACUUUCUAGGAUAAGUAACAGUUUGUAAGCUCUAACAGAAAGCUCUCCAACUCUGCCUGCCUUCAGCUAAGCAGGGGGAGAACACACUGCCUGUCUGUGCCCCUGAUCUCAGGACUAUUUCAGUGAUCAAAGGACAGUCAAAGCUCUUCUGGAGACCAGAAUCUGGCACAGUAUCUCCUCAGGAACAGACUUGCAUCCUCUUCUCAUGCAAACACACACAGAGAUGCUCACACUCCUCAGAACACCCCAUGCCUGGGCUGAGAGCGUUCCAGUUCAUCAUAUGUGCAAUGUGGAUGGCAUAUGCCUCUCACCAAACAGUGUUUUCUGUUUUCUUGUGCUGCUCACCUCUAAGCAGGGUACAGACACAUGCCAAUGAAUUAAUAAUGGUUAUCUUUGCUUCGUGCUCUCCCAGCUUUGCUCAAGAAGCCUCCCUUCUCCUCGAGACAUGUACUCCGCCUGGCCUGUAUUGCUCCUCCUGCGUGAAAGCUGCCUUGGCAUCAGGAGACACAGGCUGAAAUCCAGUGAGAUAGGAGAGACAUUCACAUUCCCAGUAUCCCAGGACUGCUGGUUUUGUUUCUCAGAGCCAGCUAACAUGCACUGCAAAUUUCAUGACAUGACCCCACGUGGAACAGAUUGUAAAAGAGAACUCCAUACCUCAGGAGACCUUGCCUCAGUGCACUCCUGGGGAAAGCACGUAAUAUGACAAUCUUCCAAACACCUUCAAGUACUGCUUUCUAUUGUUUAGAGGCAGGUUUCCAAGCGCUGCCUAUACCUCAUCUGCCACUCUGAAAAUCACUUCAGAUGUUCAAGCGAUCCAGCAAAUCAAGAGAAUUUACAGUUCUGAAGGACUUUUCUGAGGUUCUCAUCUCUUGGAAGUUAGUGAUAAUUUGAAGAGCAGAGAGACCAACAGAAGAAAAUAAAUUUACCCCUCAUUCCUUCUCUUGCAUGCAUGGUCAAAAAGAGCAAAAAAAUGGAGAAAGGAAGGAAUGCAAAUGCUCAUAAGAGGGAUUUUGAAAGUUACAGUGAACACUUCAAUCUGAAAUGCCAUGAAAACUUUUCAUUUCCCUUUUCAUUUUGUCUUUUGGAAUGCUGAACUUGUGUUGCACUGGUAAUACCUUUUCCCUUUCAACUUCAUCAUUUUUAUGUGGUUUUUCUAUAGCCAAAAACCCCAUAGGGCAGCCUUGCUAGUCUCUUGUGAGCACUGUUUGCAGACAUCCAAAGAGAGUGCCACAAGAGACUGAAACUUCCAACUCCAUGCAAUUAAGCAGAGUGAAACUCGCACACGGAUACACAACUAGAAGGUUCCAGAGGAGACACAUAUCCUAUUCUCAGCCCUGUAUCAGCAGUCCAUGAAAUAAAAUCGUUAAAUACACUCAACUCCAAGUAAUAAAAUCAAAAGCAAGAAUC